CCUACGGGAGGCAGCAGUGAGGAAUAUUGGUCAAUGGACGAGAGUCUGAACCAGCCAAGUAGCGUGAAGGAUGACUGCCCUAUGGGUUGUAAACUUCUUUUAUAUGGGAAUAAAAUGUUCCACGUGUGCGUUUUUGUAUGUACCAUAUGAAUAAGGAUCGGCUAACUCCGUGCCAGCAGCCGCGGUAAUACGGAGGAUCCGAGCGUUAUCCGGAUUUAUUGGGUUUAAAGGGAGCGUAGGUGGGUUGUUAAGUCAGUUGUGAAAGUUUGCGGCUCAACCGUAAAAUUGCAGUUGAUACUGGCAGUCUUGAGUACAGUAGAGGUAGGCGGAAUUCGUGGUGUAGCGGUGAAAUGCUUAGAUAUCACGAAGAACCCCGAUUGCGAAGGCAGCUCACUAGACUGCAACUGACACUGAGGCUCGAAAGUGUGGGUAUCAAACAGGAUUAGAUACCCCAGUAGUC
Molecule: ribosomal RNA, 460 nt
Filed under: uncultured bacterium
Lineage: Bacteria
Description: partial 16S ribosomal RNA
Rfam family: Bacterial small subunit ribosomal RNA
Source: RNAcentral